Molecule: ribosomal RNA, 121 nt
Filed under: Triticum urartu
Lineage: Eukaryota; Viridiplantae; Streptophyta; Magnoliopsida; Poales; Poaceae
Source: RNAcentral
GGAUGCCGAUCAUACCAGCACUAAAGCACCGGAUCCCAUCAGAACUCCGAAGUUAAGCGUGCUUGGGCGAGAGUAGUACUAGGAUAGGUGACCUCCUCGGGAAGUCCUCGUGUUGCAUUCC